AGAGUUUGAUCAUGGCUCAGAUUGAACGCUGGCGGCAUGCUUUACACAUGCAAGUCGAACGGUAACGCGGGGGCAACCCUGGCGACGAGUGGCGAACGGGUGAGUAAUACAUCGGAACAUGUCCUGGAGUGGGGGAUAGCUCGGCGAAAGCCGGAUUAAUACCGCAUACGCUCUGAGGAGGAAAGCGGGGGACCCGGUAACGGGCCUCGCGCUGCGGGAGUGGCCGAUGUCGGAUUAGCUAGUUGGUGAGGUAAAGGCUCACCAAGGCGACGAUCCGUAGCUGGUCUGAGAGGAUGAUCAGCCACACUGGGACUGAGACACGGCCCAGACUCCUACGGGAGGCAGCAGUGGGGAAUUUUGGACAAUGGGGGCAACCCUGAUCCAGCCAUGCCGCGUGAGUGAAGAAGGCCUUCGGGUUGUAAAGCUCUUUCGGACGGAACGAAAUGGUUACAGUGAAUAACUGUGAUUGAUGACGGUACCGUAAGAAGAAGCACCGGCUAACUACGUGCCAGCAGCCGCGGUAAUACGUAGGGUGCGAGCGUUAAUCGGAAUUACUGGGCGUAAAGCGUGCGCAGGCGGUUCGCCAAGUCAGGUGUGAAAUCCCCGGGCUUAACCUGGGAAUUGCGCUUGAAACUAGCGGGCUUGAGUGUGGCAGAGGGGGGUGGAAUUCCACGUGUAGCAGUGAAAUGCGUAGAGAUGUGGAGGAACACCGAUGGCGAAGGCAGCCCCCUGGGUCAACACUGACGCUCAUGCACGAAAGCGUGGGGAGCAAACAGGAUUAGAUACCCUAGUAGUCC
Molecule: ribosomal RNA, 797 nt
Filed under: uncultured bacterium
Lineage: Bacteria
Description: bacterial SSU rRNA
Rfam family: Bacterial small subunit ribosomal RNA
Source: RNAcentral